GGGGGAUGGGACUGCAGGCUGCUUGCUGCUUGCGCUGAUCAACACAUUUACAAAACAAAAGACGCUGAUGGAGAGGUGCAAGGGGAUUUAAGGUGGGCAGGGUUUAUGAGUUUUUUUCGUAGGCUUUGGUAAUUCUAAUUUUAAAUAUGAUAGUUUCAAAUGCACACUAUUUCAUUUAGAAAUGCCUGGAAUGAAUGUGCAAUAUUUGAAUUCUAAUAAAAGCAUCUUUAAUUUACCCACAGAUCAAUGGCAGCAUUGAUUCUAAAUUAACAUUUUCAGUUUUUUGGUUAAUAUAUUGUUUGUCCAGUAAUAAAAAAUCAAAUACCACUGAAAACGUUCCCACACUUCUUCCAAAGGGUUGUCUAAUAAGUAAUAAUCCUGUAUCUCUGAUUUCAUGCAACUGACUGCACUGUCUGUAGCUGAUUAAACCUAAUUAUUAUU
Molecule: long non-coding RNA, 441 nt
Organism: Erpetoichthys calabaricus (reedfish)
Lineage: Eukaryota; Metazoa; Chordata; Cladistia; Polypteriformes; Polypteridae
Exons: 2
Source: RefSeq, a predicted model, not a curated record